RNAcentral lists this unclassified non-coding RNA (189 nucleotides) under Glomus sp. RNAcentral describes it as "partial internal transcribed spacer region". The stretch from base 1 to 46 matches the Rfam family "Eukaryotic small subunit ribosomal RNA", at positions 1786 to 1831 of the family's 1831-position model. The record is from RNAcentral. Lineage: Eukaryota; Fungi; Glomeromycota; Glomeromycetes; Glomerales; Glomeraceae.
AAGUCGUAACAAGGUUUCCGUAGGUGAACCUGCGGAAGGAUCAUUAAUAAUUUGCCGAACCUAGCGUUAGCGCGAGGUUCUGCGAUCACUUAUAUUUAAAACCCAACUCUUAAAUGUUAUAAUUAUGUAUUUUUUUUUAAAUGAUAAAAAAUUAAAAGAUCACUUUCAACAACGGAUCUCUUGGCUCUC